UUUAGCUUUCAUUAUGAAAUUCCAUAUUCUUUAUAUCACCUUUUCAAACAUAAAUAUUUUGAUCAUUCUGUAGGCAUGUCAAGGGCACAGUAGCACCUGCUGAUUGAUCUGUUUUAAGAGCACUUAAAUGGCUUUUUGGAAAGCCAAAUUUUGAUUUGCAUGAACAUUACCGGUAACAAAAUCAAAAUGUGGCUUGAAAAAAGCCAUUUAAGUGUUUUUAAAACACAUUGGUCAGCAGGCACUAAUGUGCAUUUAAACAGGAAUAAAACUAAUUAUAAGUCUUCUUUACUUCUUUAGGUUUGGGGAUUGGUGUUGCAAGUGAUGACCGAAGGCAAAUUGCUCCUAACAUAACCCCUGUCCCUCCUCCUUCAGUCAAAGAACUUGUUGAAACCCAUCAGUCUAGAUUCAACUGAUCACUGUAGACAAGUGUCUGGCACUUAAAACAAAGUGCUCUGGUUAGGUGGAGCUUGUA
Molecule: non-coding RNA, 472 nt
Organism: Paramuricea clavata
Lineage: Eukaryota; Metazoa; Cnidaria; Anthozoa; Malacalcyonacea; Plexauridae
Source: the annotation of a GenBank genome assembly